AGCGAACGCUGGCGGCAGGCCUAACACAUGCAAGUCGAACGAACUCUUCGGAGUUAGUGGCGGACGGGUGAGUAACACGUGGGAACGUGCCUUUAGGUUCGGAAUAACUCAGGGAAACUUGUGCUAAUACCGAAUGUUCCCUUCGGGGGAAAGAUUUAUCGCCUUUAGAGCGGCCCGGGUCUGAUUAGCUAUUUGGUGAGGUAAAGGCUCACCAAGGCGACGAUCCGUAGCUGUUCUGAGAGGAUGAUCAGCCACAUUGGGACUGAGACACGGCGCAAACUCCAACGGGAGGCAGCAGUGGGGAAUCUUGCGCAAUGGGCGAAAGCCUGACGCAGCCAUGCCGCGUGCAUGAUGAAGGUCUUAGGAUUGUAAAAUUCUUUCACCGGGGACGAUAAUGACGGUACCCGGAGAAGACGCCCCGGCUAACUUCGUGCCCGCCGCCGCGGUAA
RNAcentral lists this ribosomal RNA (449 nucleotides) under uncultured bacterium. RNAcentral describes it as "partial 16S ribosomal RNA". It matches the Rfam family "Bacterial small subunit ribosomal RNA", at positions 29 to 523 of the family's 1533-position model. The record is from RNAcentral.